AAACCCUCAAAAGAAAGCAACAGCAAGUGGGUGGAAGAAAGGAGAAGGUAGUUGACAAGGGAAGAACGGAGAAGGUGAUUGAAAGCAAGGAAGGAGAAGGUGAAUGGCGACUGAUGCUUCGAUGUGGCGGAAGACGCCGGUGAGUGCGCGGCGAGUAGCAGAGGAGUCCGCGUUGUUGGGUGAAAUGGGCAAUGUACUUCUGAGCUAAAGUAUGAUGAACUUUGUAUACUACAAGCAAGCCGGUAGCCAGUUUGCGUUGUCGGUUUUCUUUGAAAGGGGAAAAAAAAAAACUUUCAUUAGGGUUAAAUGCACUAAUUCCCUAAUUUCAUUCUCAAUUGCAGUUACUCCCCCACGAGUUCGUUUGGUUCAUGGGUUGGAUGAAAUAUGAUGGCUCAUUCUUGGAUUAUUAAUGUUGGAUUGAGUCAUCCUUGAAUUAACAAUCCAAAUUAUCUUAUGUUUGGUUGGUUCUAAGUUGGAUAGGAUAUAUUGAAAAAUAAUUCUAUUUGUGUUUAGUUGGAGAUUGAAUGAGAUAGAAUUACUAUUUUAACGAUCAAAAUACCCCUUAAUUUGUAGGAUCAUUUUAAUAAAGUAAUUUAAUAAUUUAUAACUUUUAUUAAAAUAUAAAGUAAUUUGAAGCUUUAGAAUUAUAAAGUGAAUCAAAAGUUUUGACAUAUAAAAAUUUGCAUUCACCCAAACUUAGGCCAUUUGGACUCUUCAAAAAUAGGUUUUAAUCUAGUUUUUGAAUCUAAAUUUGAAAUUCAAUUAAAUAAUGGGCCGAGUUUUGACUAAAUUCACGUUAAAUUGAAUAAAAUUCAACCCAUUUAAGAGUUUUAAAUGAGCCAAUAUAGAAGAUUUUUCUUUAGACAAUCUUGAACUUAUUGAAUCGCUCAUUCAUAAAACCCAAUUGAUAAGGUCAUGUAUUUAUAUAGAUUUUGGUUGAGAAAAUAAGGUUAGUAAGGACAAUAUAGUCCUUUUAUUAUGAUGUACGUAGGGGCAAAUUAGUAAAAAUGUAAAUUAAUUAAUAGGGGUAAAUUUGUCAUAAAAUUUAGAAUAAUGAAUAAGGGGAAAAUAGUCAAAAAAAUUAAUGUAAUUAGUAAGGGCAAAUUAGCCCAUUUAUAAUCAUUUACUAGUGAGAGUACGUUUGAAACCAAAAAUUCCAGAUUUCUGGAAAAAAAUUUCACCCUGUUCUGUCCGGUUCCAGUUCGUGUGGUUAGAGGUCGAAUUAGGCUUGGCAUCAUGUUUAACGUAUUGAAUUGACUAUCUGACUAUGUGUUCGGAAUCUCACUGAGCUUUUAGCUCACCCCUUUAGUUUUGUUUUCCUUAACAGGGGACGGCGAGCAGGAUGAGAGCAUAGACUAGCCUAGUCUAGUUCUUUUGUUAUUCUUUGUAAUGGUUCUCGCCCUAGUGCUUGGCACGGGCUGGACGUAUGAAGGAUUGAGAACCUUUGUAUAUUCGAUCUUUAUAUUCCCUUUUGGGAUGGCAAUGUAUAUAAGUUCCGCUUUAAGUUUGGAUCGCUGCCCUAUUUAUUCUUGUGAUUUAUUCCGAUUUUAAUUGAGGACUGUAGUGAAUGACUGAGUCCCGGCGAGAGUUGGGCAGGCGACCCACCGAACCCCGGGGUACGCCCUAGGGGGAGGUGGGGCCGUCACACAUUAACCAUAGAUAGCAAGUAAUUCCAGAAACAUGACAAUAUAAAGCAAUAAUAAUAUUCAUUAAAAGGAUACGUGCUCACAUGGAGCCAUUCAUUCAUUCAUUCAUUCUCCUUUCAUUUCCUUAUUCCUCCAUUCGUUUGAAAAUGCAUUUUGAUAAGUAAAACCCUUCAUUUACAUGGACAUUCGUUUAUUCAUUUCAUUUCACCCCCUCCUGGACAUUGGUCAGGCUCCACCAGACUACAAGGUAAUACUCGAAUUUACCAAACGUUCACCCAGGGUCACCAAAUCGCCCGACCGAGUCCGCUUCUGGCUCAAGUCGACCGGCAACGAAGGGCAAGGGCCCAAUUCAGCCAAACGGCUUACAUUCAUGCGCAACUAGCAUUUAAUUAUUUAAUCAUUGAAAAUUUCACAUUCAUUUAGGUCGAGUGCGAUAAAGUACACACUCACAUAAAAAACUCAUUUUAAGCAAUCAUUGAAAACAUUUAACAUGUUAUCAUUCGUGCAUAACAAGUCAUAUAAUCAAGAACAAGCCACAUAGUCAAUGAAAAUAUAACAAACAAGAAACACUCACCUAUUUACGCAAAAUAACGUCCAAAAUAUCCUUCCGGAUAACACCCUCAAUCACCAAGAAACCCUAAUAUAAUCAAAAGAACAUAUUAUGCUUCAACCAUCAAAGAUGUAAGUGAUUCAAAGAAAAUUCGAAUACGUACUAGUACAAAGUAUAAAUAUGAUUUUGGUAGUGAAAAGAGAACAUAAGUAAAAUAUUUGUAAAACUUAUGCUUACUUGUAAAACUUUAAAAUCGUUAUUUGAGUCGAAGUGGCAAAGAAAACGUAUUUCUAGUAGUCGUAAAUUUCAUUUUUCCAAGGGUACAAGUUUCGGCCGAAUUCUAACUUAUAUACCUCGAUAAAAGAAGAUGUAAAUCCCCUAGAUGGUUCACGUGGUAUUCGCUCUCAAGCCUUACUCAAGUCGAAAGUAUAACGAUCUAGUUCUCGAGCGUAAAUUUGGGCAGCACGCCCUUUGUAUUUACCCAUUUUUCCGGCAUUUAUGGCUUCAUUCUUCAGCCCCAAAGUCAUACACAAAAUCAUCUCAUUUCAAUAGCCGUUCAAUAGGCUCAAAGUCAUACAAGUACAAAAUCAAACUAGGAAAAUGUCCGGAAAUGAAGUUUAAGUUAUAAAACAAAAGACAGAUUUGCCGUCGCUUAGCAUAACGGGCACAAUCAAAGAUACGCUUAUUGGAUUGGGGUGAAAUUUAUACCAUGUCGAAGAUAAGACAAAGGCCUACAACUUUGAUGAAGAUGACUCAGUCCAGUUUGUAGUGUAUCUAAGUCAAAAUUUCAAUUUACCGAACCAGAAUCUCACAUUCGGGUUAGUUAACCGCACUAUACGUAACCGACAAUAACUCAGGCUACCGAAGUCCGAUUAAGGCAUUUUCAGGGCCAUUGGAAAGCUAAGACAUAGCACUACAACUUUCAUGUUUUGGAUAAAUGCUAGUUCAGUGCGUAUCAAGGUGAAAAUACACGAUCAGAUUGGUGAAAUAUUCAAAACUAAUCACUGGAUUCACCUAGGAUAGUCAGGGUAUUUUGGUAUUUUAACAGGCUAAAUUGCUCCGAUUGAGCUGAAAUUUUACAGGUAACUAUAAAAUAUCAUUCUCUACAACUUUCAUGUUUUGUACUAAGCCUAAUUCGGCCUCUAACCUAGUCAAAAAAAACCUGUCAAAACAGGGGAGGUGAAAAACCCUAAGACUGAAAUUUCCAUAAUACUACUUCCAACUAUGAAAUAUGCUCAUAAACUACCAAAACUACAACUUUAAACCACUAAUUAGCAAUUAAUUGAAGUAAAGAGGAGGUUCUUGGAAAAAUACCUUGGAAACUCAAAAAAAUGGUAGCUUAGUAUCUUUCCUCCCACAAUCACUCCACCAACUCCUUCAAUCUUCCUUAAUAAGCACUUGUAUGGUGUAGUUUCAAUUUUGGUUGACUACAACUCAAGAUUUGAGCAAGUUUGGAAGCAAGAAAUUGAAGAGCUCUCUCUUGUUUCUCCCCUCAAGAAAGUCGGCCAAGAAGCAAGAAAAAUGAAGAAAUUUUUGGUCAAAAUUUGGUUUUUAGUAAAGGUGAAAAUUAGGUCAAAGUCCAACCUCCAAUAGGUUUGCAACACUUGGCCCUUCUAGUGUUUUCUCUAAUCCUUUGGCUUCCAAUUGUUACAUCAUAUACAAACCUCUAAUUAUCCUCUAGCACCUUGUAUAAUAAUAACACUUAGCACAAAAAUCACUUAGUCACCAAAAUUAUAUCGCACUAGCGGGUCCCACAUCUAUAACGCACUUCAAAUUAACGUACACUAACUCAUACUAGGAAAAAUGAUUUUAAAACUGUACUUGCUUGUAAAAAUGCAUAGAAAUUUAAUAUUUCCAAGGAAAGUAUAAAAUGUAGGCAAAGAAAUAAAAUAAUGCUAAGCAAAUGUGAAAAUUUUUAGGUUCUCACAAUGCACAUUUAAUUGAGAAUUUAAUUAUUUUAUUAAAAUACUACAACAAUCCCCACUUAUUUUAAUAAAAUAGUAUAAAAUUUAAAUGGCAAGGAAGGACUAUCAUAUAUAAUAUAGAUAGCAGUGCCUUAAACCUAUAUUUAGUGUUGAGGUGAUUUCUAAUACCAGAGCCAAUAGUGAACUACAAUCUUGAACUAUGGCUGCUUUUGGGAUAUUGGAUAUCACCUUACACACACAAUAGUUCAGGUGUUCUCAUGAGCCAAUAAAGCUGGCACUUUACGGCCUUGUGCUCAAUCCCAGUUUGUCCAUGUGUGUAUAAGAGAACAAGUCCCAAUUCUCUUUAGGACGGCCCCACCCUGAACACUCAUAUAGGUGAAAUCCAUCAAGGGUGCUCCCGUAACUCAAACACCCCACUCAUAAGAGCUAUAGAUUUCAUUAAGAGCAAUAUAGUUCAACCUUUCUUUCGUUACAGGAUGUAUGCACAUAUAGCAUAAGGAUGGACCAUGCUUAUCAAAAUUUGUGCAUACCCAUUUCAAAUCACCAUGUAAUUCAUUUUUCCCUUUGAAGCGAACUCUUGGGAUCUCCAAUCAUUAUGUUGGGUAUCCUUACAUGUGAUUUAUGAUUCAUGGACUUUAGUCACAUCCUUCUCAUGGUUGAUCAUAUCUUUGCCUCAACUUGAGUUGUUUACUAUUAUCACAAAAAUAUAAACAAAGAUAUGAUCUCAUUGACACUCGAGUCAAAUUAUUUCUUCAAUAACACAAUAAUACUGUGAUAAUACCAAUAUUUUGUGAGAAUAUUUCUUACAUAAUUGCCAUACAAGUAAUUAUAUACACUUCAAGUGAAGGCCCAAUAUUUUCAUUUUUUUCAUCUUAGUAACCAUUAGUCUCACUAGAAAUCAUCAACGUAGAUGACCAUUAGUUUACUACUAGGAGCUACUUUAUUUCUCAAUAAUUGUCAAUUUCAUCUAGUAGGCCAGUAGUCUAUAACCUACUAGGAACCAUUUUCACCAUCUCUAUGAAAUUUUCAUAGAAUUUCUUUUCACAAGAAUAUGAAAUACACAUUUCAAGUUUCUUCACAUUAUAUAACGUUAUAUUAAAGGAUUAAGAAAUCCAAAAACAUGAUACUCAAUGUCAUUUAAUAUUGUACUUAAUUGCAACUUUAAAAUCCAUACCCACAAGUUGCAAUUAUAACAUGAUAUCACAUGAGAUUUGUAUAUAUAUUUUUUCAAAAUAUAUAUCCAUGUCAUUUAAUUGAGUAUCCUCAAGUAAUUAAUCUAAUUCUUUGCAUUCAUUUUCAGCAAACAAAUAACCCCACUAUUUUAAUGCUUUAAUGAUAUGCAACUAAACAUAUAUCGCAUUUAAAAAUCAAGUCCUAUGCAUAUUAGCAUAGAAAAUUACUAUGACCCCCACCAUUUGCCACAACUUUAUAACAUGCAAUAGAGUAUAUAUCUAUUGCAAUUAAUGUAAAUGACCCAAUUAAUCAUACCCAUUGGAAGUUCACUUUUACUUGUUAAGAAGGCACCUUUAAAAUUUCUUCUAGAAUGCAUGAUGGCAACUUGUCCAGUGCAGCAACAAGUUGUAAUUAUUCAGUAAUUUGAACUCCUUCAAAUCUACUUCUCCGGUGCCAUAUUUUCCUGUUAAGCCUUCCAAAAGUUUUUGAUAUUAGGAUAAGAAGUUUCAUAAAAGUUAUGAACUUCAUUAGAAAGGUUAUAUAACAAAUAAUUCAAGCAAUGGAAUUCAACAACUUCCUUUUUUGCUGAAUUUUUCUCACAAUAUUGUUUUAUACUUCAUAUAUCUUAUUGGUUGAGAUCUUCUCAUUUUUUCUGUCCAUCGGUAGACUACUCAAGUCACUUGAGUUGAUAGUAAGGACUUACAAGUUGAACUCCAUCUUGAUCUGAAUCACCUUAAAAUUGGUGUUCACCUGGAACAAAAAAUAAAAACAAAUAUGUAAAAAUAAAAAAAGAUUAGACAAUAACAAUAUAUUAAUACUCAAGUGUGGAGGGUUGAGGCACGGGUAUCUCACUCUCUUUAAGGUGAUUCAAGCCUCUGCUGAAGAAUCAACUCCGAUGCAGCAGGUUCUCUAGCUUGUCACCCCCAAGAUACAACAGCCCAGCCACACUUGCUAACACUCUCUCUAGACUCCACAACUAAGAGAGUAUAGCUCUACAAACACCUUUUGUUUCUUGCCUAAUUAUGAGAUAGAAAAUAGUGAAUUUAGACUCAAAAAACAUAAGUUGUUGUAGUAGUAUUUUUUUCAUCCCAACUAUGCAUAUUUAUAGGUGAAGAAAAAUUAGACAAAUAUAACCUACACUACUAAUAAGAUACCAAGUAAAUGCUGAAAUUAUUGGCCAUUCAAAACACAUUGAAAUUUGUAUUGUAGAUUACAAAAACUUAUUGUAAUUGAAAAAUCAUAAUUUCACAUAAUAAUUCUUUGGUCAAUACCCAUUCAAUCCAAAUUUGAAUUGUAAGUUACAAAACCUCAAUGUAAUUGAAAAGCCAUAAUUUCAUACAAUAUAUCUUUAGUAAAAACCAUUCAAACACCUAUAAAUUUCAGAAAAUUUUACCAAUUUAUUUCCCUUGUAACAUGCACAUUUAACUGAGAAUUUAAUUAUUUUAUUAAAAUACUACAAGGAAUGUUAUAGGAGUAGAUAUAGAAUCCUACCUUCUAACAGUCAAUAAGUGGACACUAAUGGGAUCAUACAAUGACUCUAAGAGAUUAAUAGUAGAAGAAGUACACUACAGGAGAACUCAUGGUUUGUAUUUUAGAUGUGGACAAAAUUUUGGAUUGAGCAUCAAUGCACAGGCAAACAGGUCAAUGCUCUUUUAUGUGAAGAAAAGGAUGAUAACAUCUUUGAGGAUGCUAUUGCAGAAUAGGAUGAACUAAUAGGAAGGGCAGGAGAGUUGACUAACAUGUCACUGAAUGCCCUAUCUGAUGCUAGCAGAAGGAAGUCUAUUUCAGUCAUAGGAGUUUUGAAUGGUCAAGUCAUAAGAAUUUUGAUAGACAUUGGUAGUUCAGAUAGUUUCAUUAACCACAAGCCCGUAUAAUAUCUUGAUCUACUGUAUCGAUAAACCACUUCUUUCACAAUAUCCAUGGCUAAUAGAAUUACAAUAAAUAGUCGUGCAUUCAGCCCAUAUAUUACUUGGAAAAUCCAUUAGUAUAAAUUCCAAUUUAGUCUUAGAAUUAUGGAUUUGGAACAUUAGGAUCUUAUAAUAAGGGUUGAUUGGAUGAAUUUAUAUAAUCUUAUCACUUUUGACUUUUAUUAGUUAAGCAUGGCUCUAAGUUGCAAAAAUGAAUUGAUUCAUCUUCGAGGAUCAAUUAAUGAGCCAAUACUACAUUUGGUAAGAUGCAAUGAUCUAAGGGAUUUAAUUCAAGAUCAAGAAAGGGUUUGUACAUCCAUUCAAAUGCAAAUCUCCUAUAGCAUCUAGUUAAACCAAGAAAGCCGCUCAAAGCUUUGAUAUUAACUAGAAUAGACCAAGCCAUAGCACAUUGUAUGUUGACAACAUCCAUACUCAGACCAUCAGCUGAUAUGGAAUCUCCCAAAUAUUCGACUCUAGUUUGAGCAUAAGAGUGCUUAGACAUUUUGGCAUAUAGCUAGUUUUCCUUCAAAGUAGACAACAACAACUCUAAAUGUUGUAAGUGAGACUCCAUGGUAGGACUAACAAAUUUCCUCAAAAUGGCUAAAAAGUCUUGUUCAUAAGUGACUCAAGCAUUGAUAAAGCCAAAUGGCUUUACCAAAAAUUCAAAGUGCCUAUUUGAAAGGCAAUUUUAUAAGUAUCAAUUGACUUCACUCUGAUCUAGUGGUAACUUGAUCUCAAAUCUAGCUUAGAAAAAUAUUUUGUCCCAAACAGUUCAUAAUUAAUUCAUCGAUGUUGGGUAUAGGAUAUUUAUCUUAUUGGUUGGAACAUUUAACUUUCUUUAACUAGAACAAAGUCUUCAUGAAUCAUCUUUUUUUCUUAACCAAAAGUACAAGUGUAGUUCCUUCGUUUCUUUUCUCUAUCAAUUGAUUAAUUUAAUUUUUUGUAAUUAAUUCUUAAGUUUGAUACAGAUCCUAGGAGGCGUUCGCGCUCUAUUUCUAGAUCCAACAAUGAUUCGUUGGGGUCCAAUGAAUAGAGUCAAAAUCAAGGAAUUCAUGUUGCAAAUCCAAUUUUCAAAUUCCUUGAGAAAGCCGAGCUCAAGUUUGUUAGUUUGUGACUUUGAGUCUUUAAUUGUUCAAGUCGUUAGUUUGGUUAGUUAGCUAACUCUAUGAAUUGUUCAUGAUCGUGUGAUUAGCUAAUGUUGAGCAUAGGUUCGACUUGAUCAUUAGUUAGUUUGUUAAUCUUGUGGUUUUUGAUUAGUUGGUAGAUUACUUAGCUAGUCUUUAGCUUAGAAAUCCGGCCCGUUUUAAGAGAUAAGGGCCAUGAGUUUCCAAAUUGUGUGCAAAGUCUUGUUAGUUUCCUUGUUCUAAUUAGGUUAGCAGUUGAGUCUUGUAAGCCUAUAAAUAGGCAUCAAUUUUCGUUAAUAAAGGAUAGACGAAUUUUCAGAAAUACCUAUGUGUGAUUGAGAGAGUUUUGUCUUGGAUUCUUUGAAGUGACCUUGAACACCUUAGAGUUUGUCUCGAGGGUUCAACCUGGUUUAUUAAUUAAAGAUCGCGUUUGAUUGUAGCCCCAUUCUACCAAUCUUAAUUUAUCUUGAGUGGUCCCUGAUCGAAUUAGGUUCCAUCCCUUAUACCAAGGUUCGUUAUCUACGUGAACAACGAGUUGAGGUUCAUUUGUGUUUAUAACCUGAUUAUGAUAGAUCCUUUCGCUGUCUGAUCGGAUCGUUUCCUCAAGAGUGGGAGUUAGGAGAUUUGAGUUCAUAUCAAAGUUGUUCUUUUUUGGAUGAGGAUUAUGUUGAAAUCAUGUCUAUGUUUUCUUUUCAUGUUUAUGCAAUAUCUAGAGAUAAAUCUUUAAAAGGAUUUGGUGAUAGUAGUCCUUAUACUUUUAUGUUUUGGUUUCAAUUUUUUUUUUUAACAGAUCAACAAUUCUUGUGGGUUUGGUUCCUUUUUUGUUUUUUGUUUUUUGUUUUUUUGGUAUUCUUUCCUUCUUCUUCCCAAUUAGUAUCUCUAUAUACCCAACUUUUAGAAGAUUGUAGAUUAGUCGGUUCUCCCCAUGGUAGUAAUUUCUCUACUUCUCUAUUUUCUCAACAUAAUACAUAAUUAAUUGUGUUUUUAUUGCAUUUUUUUCCUGAAGGAAAAUUAGUACAGGAUUAGAAUUUCUUUUAAAAAGCAGCAUUUUUGUUUGAAUUGGAUAUCAAUCAUAAUGCUUUAUUGUUUAAAUGCGUGUCUUAUGUCUUUGAUUUGGUUGGGAUUAAGAUAUUUUUCAUUAAAAGGGAAAAAAAGAGUGAGAUGAAGCUGGUUUAUUUGGAAUGGUCUUUUUUGUCAUUUAGAAAAUUCUUUCCUUAACAAAAGUUUUCCAAAACUAAAGACAUCACCUCUUAAAUGUAGAUUAUUUGUAUCACCUCUUUUUUCUAUCACCAUAUUUUAGAUUAUUUGUGAGCUCAAUUAAUAGCUAAAUGUAGUUUUUCUUAAUAAAUUACCUUCUUGUACUUAAAAUAAAUAUUUGCAUUUUUAGUAGCAAACAAAUAUUUUAAGGUACUUUAUUCUACGACGUUUUGAACAAUUGUGUGAAUUUUUUUGUAUUUUAUAGAAAAAUUGAAAACUUAAUAAAAUUUAUAAUAUAUUAUAUUUGUUUGGCUUCAUGUAAUUUAUAUUUUACGCUGCCAAUUAAUUAAUUAUAUUCCUAGCAAAUGUAGAUUUUUAACACAAAAAUUUAUAUGCUAGAAUGAAUUAAAUAUUAGGGCUAAUUUUAGACACCUCCACUGAGGUUUCUGACAGUCUCACUCCCCUCCCCUGAGGUUUCCGAAAUAUCAAAAACUUCCCCUAAAACUAGAUAGGCAGUCCCAAAUCCAACCCGAUUCAAAAAUAAAAACAAUAAAAAAUUGAAAGCUGGAGAGAGAAAGAACUUGAUACCACAAAUGCCCUCAUUUUCUUGCAUUAGUGAAGUUAUAGGUAAAUGACAACUUUCAAUAGCAAAUUAGCAUAUUUGUAGCCUCUCACACGUUUACAAAGCAUACAUAAAUGAGCUAAGCACACUAAUUUGGCAUCUUACUAUAUGAAACAACCCAAGUCAUACAAGAAACAUAGAAUCAACUAAGCAUAAUUUUGUAGAGGCUUAGCAAAUCAAGUCAUACGAGAAAUAGAAAAUUAGCUAAAUAUAAUCUGCCAUACACAAACAACAACUAUAUCAAUAUAGAUUGUCAAGGAAUAUUGAAAAUUUUCAAAAUUCUUAAAGACUAAACUGGAAGAGGUCUAAUGAGUUCUUCAACUCUUCAACAAAUGUGAGAAUCUAAAGCUUUUCCAUACCAUGAAUCAAGCUUUUUUUGCCAUACAUCAACAAUGGUUUAAAGAGACUAAUUGAAGUGACUUGUUGUACUUGGAGCUUUCUAAGCCAUAUAUCAAUCACCAAGUGCCGCCUGAAUUUGGCGUCAUUUUCUUCAUGGCAUUUUAGAUAUUAAUUAAAGGAAUCUAAAUUAUGACCGUAUUUAUAACUAACUUAGCUAAAUUGGUCCAUAUAAUUGGGAAAUAUUUGGCAACUUGUGUGGGUAUUUAAGUCUUUUACCCAUGAUGAUAUAAGAAAUAAGACCCAAUAUUCUGUCAGGGGAGGUAUCUCAUAUUUUGGAAAUCUCAAGGGAGGGGAGAGAGACUGUCAGAAGGUUUCUAAAAUUAUCCCUAAAAAUUACAAUUGAAAAUUUUUAAUAUCAAUCAACAAUUAUUUUGAAAGCAAAAAAUGUCAAAAUUUCAUGUAAAUAAACAAAUAACAUAGUGUAACAAAUCCUAUAAACUAACCUUGGGCAAUUAAGUCAAAUUUGUAUUAAUUGUAUUCUAUUCUGACAUUUAAAUAUGGAUUAUACCAAAUACUGACAUCCAAGUAUGGAUUAUACCAAACACUAGAAAAUGAAUAUUGCAUCCUAACUUGCUAGACACUAGAAUGAUAAAUUUUUCUUCCUAAUAUUUUGGGUGAAAAAUUUUGUCGAAUAGAAAGAUUUUUCCAUUCUAGUCAUUUUCGUGUAUCAAACGAGGGAUCAAAGCUUUUAAAAACAUCCCAAUAUAUGUUUUCUAAUCAUUAUUCUAGUCAUUUUCGUGUAUCAAAGGAGGGAUCAAAGCUUUUAAAAACAUCCCAAUAUAUCAAAAACAUACACCUCUUCUCCCUCCGCCAGCACUUUCCCUUACCUUCUCCUACUACCACCAUUGCCACUAGCACCACCUCCUACCACCAUCAACACUCACCUCUCCUACCGCCAUCACCCCCCUUCUUCUUCUUCUUCUUCUCUCUCUCUCUCUCUCUCUCUCUCUCUCUCUCUCUCUCUCUCUCUCUCUCUCUCUCUCUCUUCUCUCUCUCCUCUCCCCUCUCCCUUCACCCAGCCAUCCCCCUUUCCACCUCCCCUCUUUCUCCCUACCCCGCCCCCUCUCCCUUUCCUGAUCUGGUCACACCCUUCCUCGCCCCUGAUCUCAUUCCCCCAGCUGUCCCAUUUGACUGAGUACCACACGCUUGCGGAUGUUUUGGAACUGGCUCAGAAACUCCAUUUAUCAUUGCCGAAAAGGACAUCUACCUGAAUCAUUUUUACAUCAAAAAGAUAAAUAAGAUUCUCAUACAUACUUGAAUCCACACAGUACUUUUGUAGCAUAACUAUAUAGAUUUGUUGCAUAACAAAAUGGUAGAAAUAGACGUUACUUCGACCACAAAAGGGGAGAAACAAUGUUGCAAAUUUGAGCGUUUGGCUCUUCUCCUUUUAGAUUACUUAACAAGAUUGUUUUUCCAAAGAUUGUAACUCUCCUUUUUUUUUUUUUAGGGUUUCUCGCAAAGAAUGGAUCCAGCAGACUAAUCCCUGCACCCGACAACUUGCUGGCAGCGAGACUCAAACCAGGGACAACACCCCAUCUUCAGCAGCCCCAUGCCAACAGACCAAGCCCUGGAGGGCCCAAGGAUUGUAACUCUUACUUUACUAUUAAUUCAUGCAUGUUCAUUACCCCAAAAAGAAAGGGCAAACCCUUUUCCCGCGAACAAAAGACACUGCAUUUUACCUGUUACAGUAAGCAACAAGGUAUCGUACUCCACGAUGGAAAUUCACCAAUCCACGAUGUAGAUCAAAUUGGGUAAAAAAAUGGCAAGAGAAAAUCAGCAAAAUUUUUUAAAUUUGCACAGUAGCCCACAAUUGUUCCAAAAUAUCGGUAUCUCAGCACGGUGAACAAAAAAUUCUUUAGAAACCAUUUGGUCUCUCCCCACUCCUUGCCGAUCUGUUCUGUACAUCUGCAUCAUAAUGUGCAAAAGCUGCGUCUAGGGCCUGCAGCAAAAGGCUUGGUCCAUGAAUACACAGCUGCUCUGUCAAAGCAAAAAAAGGGCAAGAAAAUGUCUGGAUAUUUGCCAUGUUUUGUCAAUAGGAUUAAUGAAGUCAUCUUCCAUAUUGAAGUAACAUACAGGAGGUCGUCAAGAAUAUGCUCAUGCCAGAUACCCAGUAACAAAAUGGGUAUACGGACUCAGCUUAUCUGAAAUAUAUCUAACCAAAACAACUAAUAAACUUCUCUUUUGUGUUUCACAAAUGUUCACAUUUCAUGAAAUAGUUGAAAAGAUAACCUGAAGCAUUGGUUGCACAAGAAGCGAAACUUGAUGUCGCAAGUCUGACUGCACAGAUUCCUUGAUCUCCUGCAAAGUUAUAUGCAAGAAAAAUCAACUUAGAAGCAAGUAAAGCAGCUUUUAUAUGGGCAGAAAAAAAUUUGCUACCCAAGCCAGCUACGGAAAGAUACGAGAACACACAAUUAUACUGCACUAACUAUUUCACAUUAUAUUCAAGGUUUUCUUCAAUAAUAAACAGUAUACGCUUGUUAUUAUGCAUGAUCCUAGUGCGAAACUUAAAAAAAACAAACACAUAAAUUAGGCAAACACAUCCUUUUUAGCGCUUCAGACACCUUUUCCACCUUUCAUUAGUUUAGAAUAAUAACUAGCUCAUCUUCUUUUUGGCAUGAGAAAAUCAGGAGGUAGAGAUAGUGGGCUUUUUAGUCUCUUGAGCUGACAAAAAACUAAGAAGAACGAGGAAAAAGUUCAAAAGGUCUCCUGAACUAAACAAUUAUCAAGAAAUAGCAAUUGAUGAUCUUAGCAUUCAUACAAAACAAAUUGAUGUAUCUUUUGAUAACUUUUUUAUUUGUUUCUUCAUUAAACAUUUUACCACCACAAAAGUUGAAGCUUUCGGAGAAAUAUAACAGCAAGAAUCACGAAAUAAGAUGUUCUUAACACUUAGUGACUAGUAAUCUGCUGCCCAGGGAAGGAAAGAGCCUGCUGGCAGUAGCAAAAGGGGAGGGCAUCAGCAUCUUUUACUCUUCCCUUAUCCAUAAAGCUCCUGUAUCCAUAAUAUCACAAUACCUGUAGCUUAGGAUAUAUCUGGGACAUAGCAUCCUUCAAUUUGGUUGCCUACAGAAGAACAAGCACCAUAAAAGCUUAACUACAAUACAUCAUCCAAAUAGAAGUCAUCUUUAGAAGAAGCUGAUAAGUAAAUGAUCCAUGACUGACAACACAACUCUAUUGCAAAUUAUGUGCCACAUCCAACAAGUUCAUUACUGUUGAAGGGACAUAUAACCAAGCAAUUUCUAGAAAGAAUGUCCUCAAAUAGAUGUUUCCAGAAUUUUUAUUAUGACACAUCAUAUAUAAUUCUUUAGACUUACCUUAGUUAAAAGAUACUUGGUUGUAAUAGGAUAUGAUGACCAAAAGUGCUUCAAUAACUCCUGGAUGGAUGACCAGUGCUGAAACAAACAGAUUAUUGAUCAGUUAUCUCAUGAAUAAGACAAUAGUAUGAACACAAUUAGCCCAACUACAGCUAUUGGUGUCAACUCACAAGUAAUAGUUCCUCUCUGGUGAUUUUUGGCAAACUAUCCAAAACACUCUCGUUUGGAUUCCUCCCAAGAUGAUACUUGUUACUUGAAAUAUUCUGAGCCAACCAUUCAAAACCUACAUAUAAUAGCACCAAGCAAUUAUAUUCCUGUGUCAACGUAAGUGCAAAUCAACAUGUUUCGACAAGUGAGGAAAAUGACAGCACCUUAAAAGCAACUUCUGAAUUAAUUGUGGGCUCAGUCAAACCCUGAAAUUUAAUCUCGAGAUGCACUCCUUCAAAGAACAAUAUGCUUCACGAGUACUCACACUACAUUUUAAUUGUUUUGCACCAGAAACAGUAUCACCAAGAGUGCUGAAAGCAUUUGCUUGCUGAGAAUCGAAGUAGUCACGAGGAUCCUGAGUCAAGAAGAAAGAAUAAUUUGAGAAGCUAUAAUUUAGAAGAUCAAAAGAUUUUCAAACAAUAAAAAUUUAACCUUAAUACUAAGUGGUGCAACUGCAGGGUCACGAGGUGCCUGAAGAUCCUCAAUCUCAGUCAUUCGAGAAAUCCUCUCUAACCGCUCUUUGUCCAAGUACACAUCAGAUGCAUCUUUAGCUAACUCAGCUAAAGGGGAAAAAAAUUGUACAAAGAACUCUUAACUACAAGUUCUUUAGUUUUAAUUCAAGAUAAAAGUUUAAAGAACCCAAAAAUAAAAAUAAAAAUAAAAACAACCAACAAUACGAAGAGUAUUAACCAUGUUUCGUCCUUGCAAGUGCUUCAGCUACAGAUCUUGUAUCUCCUAGCUCAACAUCUACACCAAUUGGUCAACAAAAGUCAAAACACAAGAAAAAGCAUUCUAUAGUCACAUAUCACUCAUCCCAAACAAGAAAUCUACCACCGCAAGCAGAAAGACCCACCAAAAACCUUUUGUUAUAAAGUGAAAAAUAAGAGAUUCCUCAACAAAUGUUAUUAAAAGGAAACAGACUUUCAUUAGCAGCGAAUACUAGUUGGCAACAAAUGGAAAGAAAGAAAGAUCCAGGUACCAUUGAUUGAUAUCGAUUGCUUUUCAAUAAUUCCAAUCAUCUAUGACCGCAAUACAUGUUUAUGGGGAACUCAGCAGGACAUCCAUCUUGUCAAAAACUUUGCCUUGGGUGACAAUGUCCUAAUGACACAACAUAGUAAAUAAGUCCCAAUGGAAAUACUACCAAGCAGGGGGCGCCCUUCCGUUAGUUUAGUCACUGGAUGGAAAGAAAGCAGACAAAAACAACUGCAGAAUGGCAUCCACUGGUGGAAUAAAUAAACCAUCUUUUCAUAGAAAACAUUUACACACCAUCAAUCACUCUUACACAGUUGCAUGAUCAGGAAAAGAAAAUUGCAGAAGACAGAGGAAAACAUGCUAAUCAGUUUGUAUUCUUUAAACCAGAGAUGUGUAUGGUAUUUAAAAACAAUUGCCCAUUGUAAAGCACUUCUACAUACUUUCUCUCUUACUUUGAUGAAGGAUUUUUUUUUACCUAUAACUCUCCUUGAAGAACGACUGCUGCAUGCUGGUUGAGGUGUUGUGAGAAAGAUCUUCGGUAUGGUUCAUAUUGCGAGUCUAAAACAUCCUUGUUGUCAUUGCGAGGUAGCCCAUGGUCCUGUAUCUUGCAAAAAAUACUACAUGAGUCUGCAUAAUAACAAUAUCACCCUUUAUACCUCAAUCUAAAACCAAUCCAAUAAGAGAAGCUCUUAGAGUUGUAACAAAAGAAUAUUUUUCUGAGCAUACUUUGUUACAUCCACUUGGAUACUGGAUGGGAGAAAUAAGGAAAUAACAUGUUCUCAUUUGCAAUGAUACUGGCCACUUGGCCACUCCCAAAAUGGACAAACAUGGAAAAUAACAGAACUCUGCAUUCUUAGUCAAAUAAUGAAGUAUGGACAAGAAGCAGAACAAUCAGCAGCCUACACCUUGAGAGAGUUUAUAAAGCAGGUAUUAAAGUAUCCAAUAUAACAAAUAAAUGCCAAUGCACAUACCGGGAGAUGCAUGUAAUCAUCUCCUUCAUCAGCUUCCAUGUCCAAAGUAGGAUCCACCUGCCUAAUCUGAAAGGACAGAGAGGGAUAAACUAUUCAAAUUUAAACCAAUUCAAGCACAAAGUUUUGAGAGUACUUCUAAGAGAAAAAUUCAUAAGAGAGAACAGAACCAAAAGCAAAUAUCAUAGCAUAGAAAACAAAUCAUCAUAAUGCAGGUCACUCCUGAGAUAAAGUUGAGCAUAAAAUGACAUUCACGUAGAACACCUUCUUCCGAGCUUCAUUAACUAACAUGUCAUCUUGCUUCAAAAAUACGCAAGUUCCUCAUCUUCUGCAGCCUCUGCUGCUGCAGCAAUGACAUUUUUUGUACUAUGGAGGUAUUCCGCUCGCGAGUAUUUAGUCCAAAACUCUUUUUCAGUCAUCUGGCAAAGAAGACAUUUAAUGAUGAAAAACAGCACAGCAACAUUGAAGGAAAGAUCAGUAAAGGCUUAAAGAAGUCAAGUCUGUGGUGAAGAGAUCAGCCCGGGUAGAAUAACAAGUUUAACUCUACCUUGUUUGGCACAAAAUUGAGAUAUGCUUGGCGAACAGCUGGUUUCUCUGCAAAAAUCUAAAGAUGACUUAAGUUAGAUCCAAGGGAGGAGAAAAUCUUGAAGAUUGCAAAGAAAUUUUAGAACAGAUUUUAGAUAUAAAAAGAACUACUGUCACCAGACUCUUUCCAUUUGUCCCAGCUCAUGUUCUUAAACUGUCCCUACCUAUGAAACUUCAUAUCACUAUUUCAAAUAAAUACUUAUAAAUAGGUUAGAACUCAAAUAAAUUCAUGAACAUCUUUAUUUUUUCAGUCUCAAUGAUAAGGUUUUCAAUUAUUACAAGUUCAAUGGAAGCUCCUGUUGUGAAUAAGUAGAGAUUAGGAGCACUAGGUUCAAGUCCAAGUCAUUGAACAAAUUAUAGGCAUUCAACAAAAGUUGGUCAACACAUACAACUUGAGGGAACAGGAAAAGAAGUACAUCCCUAUGCUGGAAAAUUUGGAACAGGAAAUUGAAGCAGAAAUAUCCAUAAGCGUAGAGCAAUGCAAAAACAUAAAAGUACAGCAAUAAUAAUUUGGUUAAACAAAAUAUCCUACUGUUAUUCAUGAAUAUAGAAACAAAUAAAGUUUAAUUUUACAGAGCACUGCAUAUUGAAAUAAGUUACUCACUUCCAAAGCAGAAUAGAGUGUCUGGAUUGAUUAAAUGAAAGAAAAUCACAAUACCUGAAGGAUAAUCUCUGGUGUUAAGUUAAAUGUAACUCUGUUGGACUGCAAAAGAAAGAACAGGAAUUACCAGGAGCAGUACAUCCAAUACCAAAAUAAUCCAAUGAGAAGUUGAAAGGAUCAGCUUUAUAUUGACAAACAAAUGCAAAAACCAAAAACCUUCCUAGCAAAAGCAGUUAAAAAUAUAUAAUUUGAAAAGCAACGUGUAAAAGAGUUAAUUGUUAUAGAGAAUCAUUCCAUUAGGAUACAAGUAAGUUUGUUGAAUAAACUUAUCAAGCAACAAGCGCAAACAAAAGAAAAGGAUACAUGCAAGUGCAAUGUGCAAAGAAAAGCAAAUCAACAAUAUACCUGACCAUCAGCUAAAGGUUUGGUACUCCACAUAUCAUUUUUUAAUGCCACUCUUUGCUUUGGCCUCCUGCUGUAAUUCUGCUCCAACAACUUCUGCAUGUUGUCGGUAAAUUAAAAGGUUCUGUCACAAAAUUCGGAAUUCAAAUAUAAUUCCAAGUCAAGAAACUGCACCAAUAAGUAGUCAUAAAAAUCUGACAAAGGUUCUAAAAUAUGCAGAUCCUAUCUGGAGUCUGGACAAGCCUUCACAUUGAAUUUUUUUUGUCUUGUACAAUUUUGACUAGCAAAUGCAUUUCAUAGUUAUGCUCCUUUACACUUUUCUCUUUCCAAUUCUUGAAUACCUUCUCAUGGACAUAAAAUGCAAUGGUGUCGCAGAGCGAUGCUCCCAUAUAUGAAAUCAAAAACUUAUCCUCUUAUAAGUGACUAUUGUGAAUGUUGUCCAGAGAAAGAUAAAAAUACAGUAUAUACAUGUCCAAAAGCAACAACCAAUCAAAUCUGUUUACUUUCUUUUCAGUUACUAACCUUCCUCGUUGCCCAGAAUUCAGCUUCAGAUAGGAUACCUCCAAUCACAAAUUGCUUGUGAAGUUUCUGUAAAUCACUGCCAGUGAAUUUUCAGUUAUGUUAACCAAAAAAGUAUUUGUGAUACAGAGCCAUUUCUAAUCAAAUGAAAGACAAUUCUAGCAAUCUUAAUAUCAGUUAAAACCAAUACAGACUCAGUCAACCAGAUAGAUAAACCAAUUUGAAACUCAGUCAACCAGAUAAAAUUCAAGAUUAUCUAUGUUAAGGUUAGGAUGACAAACGCAAUAUUUAUCUGCUUCUGCAAGAGAGUUUUUUCAAAUAUAGCAGUUCUAAAGUGGUCACAUGUCACCAACCAACUCAAGAUUCAGUAUCCUGUAAUAGUGAAUUUUGGGAAAUAUAAACUAUUUCUGUUACUUGGUGACCACCUGGGUACAACUGUUGCCAGCUUUUGUAGAGACUUUACCGUGGUUGUAAUCCCUCAAUCACACAGCUAACUAUCCAGGACAGGAGAACGUACUUUUGACAUCAGAAUGCCAAGGACAGCAGGAGCUUCUAAAGGAGAAAGACACUCUUUUUUGGGGGCUGAGGAGGGAAUACCCGAUCCUAGAGGUGGCAGUUUGCAUUUGUAUCCACACAUCAUCCACAUAAACCCAUCUUAAACGGAUUUGGAUGGCUGAGAGAAACUAUGACUUUAAACAGAUGGCAAUUUAAACUUAGUUAAGUUACAACUUUAAAUGGAUUAUACAUGUCAUCCAUAUAAAUUCAUCAAAAAAUGAAAAAAAAAAAAAAUAAGUCCUCUCCCCACACACACACACCACACUCACACACUCAAACACGCAUGAAAACAAUUACAGGAUCCCACCUCACCUGCAAACACAGUGGCACACACUUUCUUUCAUGCAAAAAGAUGCAGUCACACAAAGAUAGCAAUAUGCCCUCUCAAAGAGAGUUAUUCGUAAUUAGUGGAACUCAGAAAGAAAUCGAAGCAAAAUGAGACAGUCAGAGCUUGGCAACAUUGCCAAAUUCAAUUCAAACUUCCUUUUGGAAAUUAAUGAAUUAGACAUGCAGUAGUAGCCGACCAUUCUAUGGAAAAUUUGACCACUGUAAAUCCUAGGAACUUCUACGGAAAAUUUGACCACUGUAAAUUCUAGGAACUAGGUUUUAGGAGUAAAUGGUUAAUUAAGUGGAUAAAGAUUUGGCAUUAUCCACUUAAUCCAUCCAUUUAGAUCCAUUAAUGAAAUCGUUGUAAUUGGAGUGGAUUAAAUAUAUCCACUAUUUAUCUAAGUGAAGCCAUUUAUCAAAUAUUUAUCCACUUUGCCACUUCUGUAGCAAGCCCACUUUUGGCCACUAAGAUAUUUUGAUUUCAUAUCCCACAUUCAGCAUUCAAAGUUCUAAAGCGGUCACUUUGGCCAAGUCGAGACAUCAAACAAGCAACACACCAUAUCAGAUGAUCUGCUUUAAAUUAACUGUAUGAAAUUAGACAGAGCAGCCAAAAGUGUACUACUUUAGAAGUUGAGUGGGUGGUUUGAAAAAGUUAAUAGUUUAACAGCCAAAAGUGAACAGCUUAGCGCCCGUUUAUGUAUUCUUCCCACCCCUUUCUGUCAGAGAAAAAAUUCCCAGGUGUAAUGUAUAUGCUGAAUUUCUAUAUAAUCAAUCUAAAAUGCAGCAAUGCACCUAAGAUAUUAAUGAAACACAAAUGUUCCUCAAUAAGAUUAAGGAUGCAGCAGCAUUACACAGAUAUAGGAAGGAAAGGGGUAUAGCACUUCUACCUAUCCUCCUGCAGUAGCUUAAUACGACGCUCCAUUUCAGCCGCACUAAGUUGCUCAUCUUGAAUCGGAACAGCAGAUUUUUCAGGAACUGUUCUCCCAGCUUCUCCGGAUAGUGCAAUAGCUGAGGCUGUUCUUCAUUCAGAUAUGCAUUAUUUCCAUAGAAACAAUACAUUAAUUAGAUUUAAAAAAAAUUGAAAAGUUCCAAGUACAAAUGCAUAGACAUCAUAUGAAGAAUGGUUAAUGCAAUCUCAUUUACAUAUUAAGCACUAGAUGGUCAGCAUCACAAAUGGUCAGCACAGUAAAGCCAUAAUUAUUUUCAUGAUAAGUUAAGAGUGCAGGAUAACUGAUUAGUAACUGUAAUUUCACUACCUGGUUGUGUACCAAGUUCUUUCAACUGUAAGUCUUUUCUAUACCAAACAACGUAGACCAUAGCACUUUAUAUGAGCAAGUGAAGAUAUAUACGUGCCAUAUGAAGAAUUCGUUUUACAAGAUGGUGCAUAUAACAUUGAAUCUCCUUUUAAAAGUCACCAAAAGAAGAUUAAGACAGAAGCAGAUAGCAACUAUUCCCAAAGUUCAUAUAAUGGUCUAGAGGCCACAUGCCAAUCCUUGUGUAGGAUCAAGGUAUCAAUUGGAAACAUGAUGUCAGUUACUAGGCUCUGAUUGCUAGUUACAAAUAGAGGCAAAGAACCUAGGUCACCAGAUAAGUCCUGAUUUUCACUUCCAAGCUGUCAAUUAGUACAGGUAUUUCAAAGUUUCAACUAAGUUUGGCAUGAAUCUAAAGGCUCACAACAGCUUAAUAAUCAAAAUUUGUCAAGUACCAGACUACUUCGGUAACUUGAUGCAGAUAUGGAUAGUGAUUAUGGUUUGAAAAAAAAAAAAAUUCUCAAACUUUAGUUCUGAGCACAAGUACGAAUUAGAUGGUAAACAAAGGAAGGGGAAUUUCAUUUUUACUUAUUAACCAAUGGCCCGAUUUUUCUUAAAAAUAAACAAAAAAGGGAAAAAAAAAAGUUUGUACUCAUAUAUGCAUGUGUACCUUAUAAGCAUCUACAGUGCGUAUUUGAUACACGAAGAUAUUAUACACACUUAAACACAGAUCCAGAGGGCAUCAUAUGUACAACUGAAGUCAAGCACAUAAUAAUAGAGUAAUUUAAGCUCUUGUAUCCCACCUACAAAAUCCUUGCAAACAUUGCGGUCUGGGAAGUUCUCAAACUCAAAAAUGUAAUUGCCACCCUGUCAUAGUUAAGCUCAUACAGUCACGUCUAGCUCGAAAGGAAUAAAUGCAACAGUUUACAGGAGUUACAGCUGUGCAGUAAAAGUGACCUAGUCAAAGCAUUGAACCUGAUCCUGAGUAAGGUUAAGGAGGGCUUGCUUAGUUCCAUCCUUGGUGAAUUUGUGCCCUGAAAAUUUCAACAUGUCCAUCAAUCUAUACUACACUGCUAGACAGAUCACAUCCGAAAAAAAAAAAUUAUGGGCAUGUAGAAAUGGGACUCAUACAGAUUUCAUGACCAGCUUAUUAAUAGUUUCUUUCUACUUAUUGGUCCAAAUACUGAAGUGACAAUCCAGGGACUGAUCCAUCUGAUAGUAGUCCAAUUCCACAAAUUUAAGGACAUUAAUCAAGACAACUCAGCGCCUUAAAAAAGAAAGGAUCAGCAGAACAGCAGCACCUUUAAUUGUUCUGAACUCUACAUUAAGUUUCACAGGUGAACUCGGAUCAUUUGCCAUGAAAGUAAACCUAUCUUUAGUCUGCAAAACAGCCAAAAAAAGAAAUGGAAAAUAACUACUAGAAUGUCAGAAGGCAUAUAGUUAGACAAAACAACUAAAUAGAUAUGCAAUUAUCCAAAUGAGUUCUAACUGUUGAAAAUAAAUGAUAAAUUACCAUUUUCAAAACGCCAGGUGUUCCAGGGUCCUUCACAGAUGACUUGUGCCUGGCUCUCUUAACCACCACCUGCUGCUGCUUAUCUGCCAUACAGUCAGCACAAUAAUGUGCACGGAUACAGACCGAAAAAAUGAAUCCAAUUCCGGAAAGGAAAAAUAGUCCUUAUGCUCCUUUACUUGAGCAAGGCCCUAUACCAAAACGAAGCAGAAGUUUCGAUUAGAUUGGGAAAUUGGCAAUUUUCUCCAAGAAAACAUUAUUAUAAUAGGCAGACUUCUUCAACUUUGUGUUCAGCAAUUAAAAAAAAAAUGAAAAUCCUCGAUCAACCGCGUUUCAACUCUGGACCAAAUCAAAAACCUUUCUACUAAAAUUAUGAAAAGAAAAUGAAGAUCCUCCAAAAACAUCCCAAAACAGUGACAAAUAAAAUAAAAUGGACAAACUUAAUGAAAGGAAAAUAAACCAAGGACAAUAAGAAAUUAAUCUCCAUACCAAUCUUUAGGCAAACUAGUCUCAUUAAAAAUCAAAAGAAAGCAACAGCAAGUGGGUGGAAGAAAGGAGAAGGUAGUUGACAAGGGAAGAACGGAGAAGGUGAUUGAAAGCAAGGAAGGAGAAGGUGAAUGGCGACUGAUGCUUCGAUGUCGCGGAAGACGCCGGUGAGUGCGCGGCGAGAAGCAGAGGAGUCCGCGUUGUUGGGUGAAAUGGGCAAUGUACUUCUGAGCUAAAGU
Molecule: long non-coding RNA, 22475 nt
Filed under: Coffea arabica (coffee)
Lineage: Eukaryota; Viridiplantae; Streptophyta; Magnoliopsida; Gentianales; Rubiaceae
Description: long non-coding RNA (CARA_LNC001858)
Source: RNAcentral